GCGUGGUCCGGAGGAAGUUCUCGAGGGCCAGGAGGUCCACUUCCGGUCAUCAGGUCUAGUGAAUUCUUCCUCUGCUGUGCCGAGUGUGCUGGCCUGAAACCAAGGGUGUCUUUCAUUCCCAACCUCCGGGCUGAUUCUGGGCACAGGAAACAGCGGCCUGCGAUCAGUUUUCAUCUUGGAAGCUACAGCAUUUCUGAGUUGGCAGGAGAUUCUGUUUCCAGUUAACACCGCAGCAAAUUUGGCAAUGAGAGUAACACUUCUGGAAGUUCCUGAAUCGCGUGAGUAAGACGUUCUGUGGACACACAAUAG
This is a long non-coding RNA of Lutra lutra (Eurasian river otter), 309 nucleotides long. RefSeq lists it as uncharacterized. NCBI's taxonomy places the organism in Eukaryota, Metazoa, Chordata, Mammalia, Carnivora, Mustelidae. The record is from RefSeq and is a predicted model, not a curated record. The transcript is spliced from 4 exons.